UUAAAUAUUCUUUAAUAAUAAUUAAUAUAAAUCUGCUUCAUUAUGAGGAAUCGUGUGAAAUUAAAAAUCUACAGAUUUUUAAUUUCACAAGAUUUUUGUUCAUGUGAAUUGACUCUGGGGUCUUAUUCAAAAAGAAUGAUUUUUGCAGUUCCAGGCUUCAAUCUAGAACAGGGAUUGGCAAACUUUUGAGACGAGCCAAAUCUGCUCCUUACAACAAUUUAAAAAUUAUUCAGUCAUAUUAUAUAAAUGUAUAUGUCUCUUUUUAUACUGUCAAACUGCUCUUUGUGACUUUAAAGAGCUCAAUAAUUUAUAUGUUUAUUCAGUUUGGACAAAAUGUUGAAAAUCACAUUUGAAAUUCAAAUGAUUGCUUGGUGUAUGAAAAUUAACCAAUAUGCAAGCACAGACCAACAUCUUUCUUCUACAAUUACACAUAAUAGUGGACUAAAUGAAAUGUCCAUGAUUUCGUACAAAAUUUGAUUAACAAUUGAGAUGAUAUCAAAUUUUUGCAAAAUUAAUGGAUUUUGCUGCAGGGGGAAUACUUAAAUAAGAUAUCUCAUUAGUUGUAUUGAUGUUAGGAAGUAAAAAAAUUAGUUUUUGAAGUAGGGCAUAUUUCAAAACUAUAACCAUUAUUUUUAUGCAUGUAUUUAAAAUAAUUCUGUCUUUAUAGUAAUAAUAAUUGCCAUGUCACUUUUAUCAACAAUACCUUGAAUUUGUAGUAAAUUUGGAUAUUAAAAUUAAUACAACUUCUGGAUGCACCCAGCUAAAAGGAAAUGCUAAUUUGCAGAAAUGCAAAGCAACAUGGACUCCACAUUUUGUGCAACUAUACAAACUACACAAAAAACAAGAUUCCCGUUUUCACAUUUUGCCAAUGUUGCCUUGCCCAGUAGAGGGCACCUCUUGCACACUUGCUUAUUAAUCACUUUGUUUGUCUGCCUUGACUACCAUGUGCUCAACUAUUCCCUCCACUUUUGCUUUCUCCUCCCUGAUGUCACACUUUGUGCAGUUUUGAGAGACCUAUAAAACGGACUAAAUCACCAUUACGUGAAUAAAAUUCUUUAAAAUUUUAUAAAUGAAACUAUGAUAGUUUAAUUUUACUUUAGAGCUAUAUGUACCCAAA
Molecule: long non-coding RNA, 1117 nt
Filed under: Androctonus crassicauda
Lineage: Eukaryota; Metazoa; Arthropoda; Arachnida; Scorpiones; Buthidae
Source: RNAcentral